UCAUGCUCUGUCUCUCUCUGUCUCAAAAAUAAUAAAAUAAAACACUAAAAAAAAAUUUUUUUUUAAUCUUAAAAAAAGAAAAAGAAUGUAAUAGGAAAAAAGGAUGAUCAAGGCAUCUAACCAAUUCUUUCAGGAUCUGGAAGUUCUUGAUUGAGGUUCCACAAAAGAACCUCACUAAUCUCUAAAGAAACAAGGCGGUUUUAUUUUUGUUCUCUGAUGAAAACUAUAUGUUUAGGAAGUCUUAGGUUCAUAGCUUCCAUCUGAAUUAUUAUAAAACAAAUACUCGGGGAGCCUGGGUGGCUCAGUCAGUUAAGCGUCCGACUUCAGCUCAGGUCACGAUCUCAUGGCUUGUUGAGUUGGAGCCCCACGUCGGACUCUGGGCUGAUAGCUCAGAGCCUGGAGCCUGUUUUGGAUUCUGUGUCUCCCUCUCUCUGUCCCUCCCCUGUUCACACUCUGUCUCUGUCUCUCUCAAAAAUAAACAAACAUUAAAAAAAAUUUUUUUUAAACAAAAAAACCAAAUAUUCUAUAAUUCUCAUUUUUAAAGAAUGGAACAUGGUCCUCCAUAGGGACUGAAGAAAGUGGCAUGAGAUAAAAGGAAACAAAAAUUCUACAGGUUUAUAAGUUACAUUUAACAAGGUAAAAUCGAGCAUUAUAAACUUAGCUUAACUUUGUAAUUGGUAAUAAGCUUUGUGUAGAAAUAAGUAUACUAUAUAAAGUUUCAAAGUAUUUACCAAAUUAUAGGUAAACAUUAUACCCACACAUCAGGGAUUCCUAAUGUAAUCAUAGUGCAGGGUAAGUUGUUAUUUGGCUAACAGGUGGGUGACGUUCCUUUCAUCUAUGAAAUUGCCACUUACUAGUAGAAUGAUUAUGUCUCUUCUAUACUUACAAUCAAAUUUAUUAAAGGCUAAAAUUCAAGAGUGCCAAGCACUUAAGACAAGCCUUCUUCAAAAGUAUGAAGUUGUAUACCUAAUAUUAUAUGGAUAUUAUAUUAAUAAUAUACAACUUUAAGAGUGAAAUUCUACCAUUCCUCACCUCCAUUUGUUGGAAUAGACUGUAAUUUUGUGCCCUGCUCCUUAUUCUGGGCACUGACAAUGAGAUUAAAAGCCAAAACUAAACCAGUUAAAAGAGACAGGCACUUCAAGGGGCGUCUGGCUAGCUCAGUCAGAGGAGCAUGCCACUGUUAGUCUUGGGGUCGUGAGUUCAAGUCCCACAUUGGGUGUAGAGAUUACUUAAAUAAAUAAAAACUUAAAAAAAAAAAAAAAAAGACAGAAACAGGCAGUUCAAGAAAAUUAUGGGAGCUCCUGGGUGUCUCAGUCGGUUAAGCAUCUCUUGGUUUUGGAUCAGGUCAUGAUCUCAUGGUUCACAAGAUCCAGUACAUCGGGCUCUACCCUGGCAGCACAGAGCCUGCUUGGUAUUCUUUCUCUCCCUCUCUGCCCCUCCCCCAAACACUCUCUCUCAAAAUAAAUAAACAUUUAAAAAAAAAGAAAAUUAUGAAUUGCCUGCCUGUUACAUUUUAUGACUUUCUGUUAAGGAAAAAAAGGGAUCAUGUAACUUACUAUAUCAAAAUUUGUAUCACAAAAACAAGAUAGCCUAUCUAAAUCUGACUUCCUAUACUUUAUCAUAACUGCCAAUACUUACUGAGUCUAUUUCCCAAAGACAGCCACACCAUAUACACUUUCCACAUCCUCUUCUUUCAAAAUGGUAUGGGGAUGGGACUCAAUAUUACCUACCCUUGAAUCUGAACAAGACCAAGACUACUGCAAAAGUGACACUGCAAGACUUCCAAGGUAAGGUCAUAUACUACAGCUACCAGCUGACUCUCUCUCAGGACACACAGCUUGGAAGCCCAGACCUACCAUGUGAAGAAAUCUGGUUCCCCUGAAGCCACCAUGCUGAAGAGAUCUUAUGAAAAAAGUACACAGACCUAGAGAGAGAUACCAGGGAGUCCCAGAUGUUUCAGUCUUCUCAGCCCAGGCACCACACGUGUGACUGAUAAUGUCAGUGGGUGAGUUUUUUGGUGACUACAGUCCCCAGCCUUUAUGCUGUUCUAGGCUGACACCAAGUGGAACAGGAAUGAUCUAACCCUACCCAGCCCUGCUCAGAUCUUAGAUUUAUAAGCAACAUGACUGUUUUAAGCCAUUAAAUGUUGGAGUUGGUUAUCAUGCAGCCAUAGUAACUAGAAGAAUGCUUGAUAUGUAGUAACUCAUUUAAUGUUUACAACAACCAUAUCAGGUAGGUGCUAUUAGUAUCCUCAUCUUAAUAAAACAGACUGAGACACAGAAUUACAUGACUUGCCCAAAGUCAGACAAAUAUAAAACACUAAUGCCAAAGUUGAUUGCCAGACUUACACAUAGGAAAAAUCUGAGUAAAUCACAGAUUUGAGAAAUACUGAAAUACAACCCAUAUCAUACAUCAAAAUAACUGACAGUUUCACUUGGUGUGCACACACAAGAAGUUGUUUCUUUGCUUUUGCACACCUAUAUAGCACACACAAAGGAUUUUUAACACUUAGAUAUAACUUGACUCAUUUAGGUGGAUAGAUAGCUUUGAUAACAAGGUAAACUAUUAAAUUUGAUUCCUACAAGUCAAUUAGUUUCAUAAAAAAAGUAAUUCAAGGUCACAGAAAGCAACCCAAUCCUCAGGUAGAACUUGUCCCAAAUUUAGAACUUAGACCAUUAGAACAGGAGCCUAACAAAGUCAACAUAAAAUCCAACUCCAAAUAUUAAUUUGUUUAGAGAUAAAGGGGAAGUCACUUUCAUUUUUCUUUAUCAAGAACAAAUAAUGGGGGGGUCUGGGUGGCUCAGUCAGUUAAGCGUUCGACUUCAGCUUAGGUCAUGAUCUCACGGUUUGUGGGUUCGAGCCCCACGUCCAGCUCUGUGCUAACAGCUCAGAGCCUGGAGCCUGCUUCAGAUACUGUGUCGUCUCCCUCUCUCUCUGCCCCUCCCCCACUCACACUCCGUCUUUCUCAAACACUAAAAAAAAUUUUUUAAAAAGAUCAAAUAAUUAUGAAAUUGGUCGUACAUGGGACUAAAGAAUUUAGAUCACAUCAGAUUUCUGUAAGGUCAUCUGAUUUGGUCUUCCAAACUGCUAUGGUACCACAGGCUUUUAGAUCUCUAAACUCAGAAGCAAUUAGAAAAAAUAAGUAAGAAAGAAAAAAAGAAGUAAAGACAAGUGCUUGUUUUAUUACGUGUGCUACACAUGCUCAAGUCACAUCUCCCUAAGGCCCUCCCUACUCACCUAAGGUGGAAAGAAUUCUGCUUCCUUAUGAUCUGGUUGAUUUGUAUUAUGAAUCACCUAUAAGCCUCUCAUUUUGAGUAAACUCCUAAAUCUAGGUAGUACAAUGCCUUGCACACAGUAAAUGCUCACAUACUUUUAGUGACAAAUUUAAGUAGGAUUUUUAAGGCAAGGAAAAUAUAUGGCUUUGUCACACUGAGAUAAUCAUAAAAAUUAAUUGGAGGCACACUAAAAAUCAUUAGCCAAAACCAAGAUAUUAUUAUUACUAUUGUUACUGUAAUUACAAGCUAUUAUCACUGUAAUUUAAAAAGCUAAAAUGGGUUUUUCUAAUCAAGAAAAAGACUACUCUCCAUCCCUACAAUUAUUUCUCUGAAUAAAAACAAAAGAUUUUUUCCUUAAGACCCAGCAGCAUUCACCAAAUUGGUCAAAAGGGACUUUAUGCAACAAUGAUGAAAUAUAGCCUAUGGAAAACAAGUAGGUUGCAUUCUUAUAUCACUACUAUGCACUGUGCACAUCAUUUUAAAUUUCCUUCUCAUUUCUAGUCUAGUCCAGAAAGCAAUAGUCUAGUCUAUUGCUCUUUAAGAUUACUCCACCCACAUUUUUCACAGUUUAAGACAAGAUCAGCAAGAAAUUAUCUUCAAAAACACUGUAAUACUAGAAACAUUCUAUUUCAAUAUAAUUACAUUACAAGGAGUUAUCUUUUACCUUUUUUAUCUUUUACCUUCUUAAAAAGAUUUCCAGGAAAAUGUCUAUAUGCAAAGACAGUACGUAAAAAAAUCUGCUGUGAAGGAUAACACCCAUUUUAUACAGAAGCAAUCAUUACUUGGUUUGUUUUUUUUUUAAGUUAGUUUUAAAUCAUAAAUAUGAUUUUAUCAGAUGAUUUCAGUACACACAUUUCUGACAAAAAUGCCUCCAGUAGUCCUCAACACCUCAAAAGACAUUUCAAAUGACUGUCAACAUGAAUUUAAAGCACUAAAAAAUUCCACAGCUGAUUCAUCCACUAUCAGAACUUUAACAAGUAUUUAUAAAAAGCAAUGACAUAAGUUUUAUAAUUUAGAAAUGAACUUGGGGCGCCUGGGUGGCUCACUUGGUUAGGUGACCAACUUCAGCUCAGGUCAUGAUCUCACAGUUUGCGAGUUUGAGCCCCGCAUCGGGCUCUGUGCUGACCAGACAGCUCAGAGCCUGGAUGGAGCCUACUUAAGAUUCUGUGUCUUCCCCUCUCUCUCCCCCUCCCCUGCUCAUGCUCUGUGCCUGUCUCUCAAUAAUAAAUAAAAAAAGUAAAAAAAAAAAAAAAAAAAGAAGAAUACAUUACAAUGCUAGUUUAUAUCAACAUCAGUACACAGAAGGAAAAAAAAAUGAACUAGUAAAUGUAUUUACUGAGAAAUACAAAUGUCCUUCUAAAAUCCCUCUUUUCUCUAAUUAGUAUCACUUCAUCUUUCUAGAAUAUUGAAACAUAAAUGAAAACCAGAAAGGGACUUAGAAAAGCAUUAAAAUUAAAGAAAUAAAAUGCCAAUAAAGACUCUCUAUUCCCCUAAAGACUGAAAAACUACAACACUUAAAUAUCAACUUUUGUAUUUCAUAGUCUUAAAAGAGAUACAGGCUAUGUAUAUUAUAAUUACAAAUGAAAAUGAGGCCCAGAAAUGUAAAUGAAUUCAAGUACUUAAGUUAUUCUUUGCAAAAGAAACAGGUUGAAAUUUAAAAUAGUCACUGACUUAAUACUAUUUUAAUUAAACUUCCCUAGUCCAGGCUGGUUAUAAGAGUCACUUAGGCAGUAUAGUAGCUAAGACCACAUCCAGAGCCAGGACUGCCUGCAUUCUCAAGGAGCUGUGUAACUCUGGGCAAGUUAUAAUGUCUGUGCUUUCUCGCCUCAUUAGCGGUUUGUGAGGAUGCAGUGAACUGAACUUCAUAAAAUCUUUUCAAUUAGCUCAAGAGUCUCAGAUUCAUAAGCAAAAUAGACACUCGCAGUUUUCUCCUAAAAUAGUAUAUGCAUUUAUUUUUUGUUGUUGGGAAACAAAAUAUGGGAGGUCCACUUUCUAAAUAAUUCAAAAAUCAAAAAAUAAAUAAAUAAUUCAAACAUCAUGGUUUUUCUCAAAUACUAUUUCCACCUAUGCUGUUAAAAAGAAUGGGGGGAAGGGAUGCCUUGGUGCCUCAGAAGAGCACGUGACUCAAUUUCGGGGUCAUGAGUUCAAGCCCCAUAAUGGGUUUAGAGAUUACUUAAAUUAAAAAAAAAAAAAAAAAAAAAAAAACUUAAAAAGAAAAGAUUUUGGGGAAGAUAUAAGGCACAAAACAGUUCUCCUUAUUUCUUAUAGUCCUGAUAGUAAGAAAGAAGAAAUUGUGUAUCAAGUACAUCCACAUGCAAUUAAAUUCAACCAAUCCCUGAAUUCUGAAGAUAGGCAAUGCAAUAGGUGAGUGAGUGCAGCUGGUAAGUAAAGGAAGUAUAAAAAUAAAUAGAACCAGAUUUUAAUUCUUAAAAAAUGUUACAGCCAAGACAAGACAAACACAAAUGAAUAUUUCAAUACAACACCAUAAAUUACGGUGAUUUUUGAACCCAGAAGAACCUAUCUAAAGUAUCUUUGAGAUCCUGGAUAAAGCAAAGCCAUGCUUGCAAUAUUCUGGGUUUGUCUAAAGGAUAAAAGAGAAUAUUUGCCAAGUCUACAUCUGAAUUAUCGUAUUUGAGCUCCAAAUUAUUUUAUGUUGUUUAAACGCUCACUUUUAAGAAAAAGAAUCAAUCUGAAGUUCAAAGAAUGAAAUGAUUACAAGCAGUCUCUAGUAAAGCCAGUACUACAAUUUCAAUCACUUAUUUUCACCAGAGUUUUCUUUUCACAUCUCUAGGCAUGAGAAAGGGAAGGAUAAAUGACUCUCAGAAUUAAAUAGAGCCCUAGGCCCUUUACAUAUUCCAUCUCAUUUAAUCACAACACGAAGGUAUUCUAUUUUGCAGGCAGGGAAACAACUUCUAAGAAGUUAAAUUAUAAUUCCUUCUAACUUAAGGUUCAUGUUCUUUCACUACCCAACUUUUCUUUUAGUUAUUUUAGUGCUGGAUAUGUCUGGAAAAGUAAGCAAGCUAUUGUUCCAAAGAAAUCCUCAAGAAAAAAGCUUUUUACUCAGAAAUAAUAACAAUAUUUUUCUUACAGGGCACUCAGGAAAUUAGCUUUUCUUUCCUUUGAUUCUGUUUCCCGAGCAUGACUUUUCCUCCAACUUCUACCCCAGCUCAAAUCUCUUCAGUUCACACCUGUACUAUUCCUACUACUUCCUAAUUGGUCUCCCAGCUCCCAAAAUUUCCAACCUUUGCCACAUUUUCCUUUAACACAGCAGUUUCAUCAUUCAUCCAAAAUACAUUCAAGAAUACCUAAGGGGGCACCUGGCUGCCUCAGUCAGUAGAGCAUGUGACUCUUGAUCUCAGGGUUACACAAAUUCGAGCCCUAUGUUAGGUCUGUAGAGAUUACUUAAAAAUAAAAUCUU
This is a long non-coding RNA of Leopardus geoffroyi (Geoffroy's cat), 6693 nucleotides long. RefSeq lists it as uncharacterized. The transcript has 2 exons. Lineage: Eukaryota; Metazoa; Chordata; Mammalia; Carnivora; Felidae. The record is from RefSeq and is a predicted model, not a curated record.